GGUCCUUAGCCUCCUAUCCAUACCUCCUCGUGGUACUGGCCGGGGUACGAGUAACCUUAGGGAAGAUCGGGUAACCAACCCCGGUGGAAGCUUUGGUCGUAUGCUGACAGGGAAGG
This 116-nucleotide ribozyme is filed under the name Aedes aegypti (yellow fever mosquito). RNAcentral describes it as "drz-agam-1 ribozyme". It matches the Rfam family "drz-agam-1 ribozyme". Lineage: Eukaryota; Metazoa; Arthropoda; Insecta; Diptera; Culicidae. The record is from Rfam by way of RNAcentral.